AUGCUGAGAAUGGAGAAGGAAAGAACAGGUGGCUGCUUUUCUAGUGUGUGUUGGGUAGUUUUUAACAAAGGGGGCUGGAACAACAAAAGUAACUUUGAAGAGCUGAGUCAUGUUGCAAAAGUUGGGCACAUUGCCUCCAGGCUAAUUACCUUCCACAGCUUGACAAAUCCAUUGGAACACACUUCGCAUGUCUUGGGCUUUGUCUACGAUCCAGCUGUUGACAUUGCUGAAAUCGAGAAUGCACAUACGUCAUUACAACGGGAAUUACAAGCCCUGGCUGGACCUUGCCAUGUCCAAGUACAAGGCCUACUGGUCCAAGUAUGA
This 324-nucleotide ribosomal RNA is filed under the name Triticum aestivum (bread wheat). Its description in RNAcentral is "partial small subunit ribosomal RNA". Lineage: Eukaryota; Viridiplantae; Streptophyta; Magnoliopsida; Poales; Poaceae. The record is from RNAcentral.